RNAcentral lists this long non-coding RNA (1307 nucleotides) under Anser cygnoides (Swan goose). Its description in RNAcentral is "lncRNA (ENSACDG00005016303.1)". Lineage: Eukaryota; Metazoa; Chordata; Aves; Anseriformes; Anatidae. The record is from RNAcentral.
CAGAGAAGGACUGGUGGGAGAUGUGGUGGUUAGAAGCUGUCUUGGGCAGAGUAACCACGAAAUGGUAGAGUUCUCUAUUCUUGGUGAAGUCAGGACGGGAACCAGUAAAACCGCUGUCUUGGACUUCCGGAAGGCAUACUUCGAGCAGUUCAGGACACUGGUUGGCAGAGUCCCUUGGGAGGCAGUUCUGAAGGGCAGAGGAGUACAGGAAGGCUGGGCACUCCUCAAGAAGGAAAUCUUAAUGGCUCAGGAGCGAUCUGUCCCCACGUGCCAAAAGCCGGGGUGGAAGAAGACCGGCCUGGCUGAACAGAGAGCUUGUGUCUAGAGCUUAGGAAAACAAAACAAAAAAAAAAAGUUUAUGAUCCUUGGAAAAGAGGGCAGGCCACUCAGAAGGAUUGUAAGGAUGUGUAGGGACAAAAUUAGAAAGGCCAAAGCUCAUCUGGAGCUCAGUCUGGCUACUGCUGUUAAAGAUGACAGAAAAUGUUUUUAUAACUACAUUAACAUGAAAAGGAGAACUAAGGAGAAUCUCCAUAUUUUACUGGAUGCAGGGGGAAACUUAGUGAUGAGAGAUGAGGAAAAGGCUGAGGAGCUUAAUGCCUUCUUUGCCUCAGUCUUUAGGAGCAAGACCAGUUGUUCUGUUGUUCUGAUUGUGGCCCUCACAAUCCACACGGAAAUGGUUGGCGAGCUGCUACAGCACUUAGAUGUACUCAAGUUGAUGGGGCCGGAUGGGAUCCACCCAAGGGUACUGAGAGAACUGGCGGAAGAGCUGGCCAAGCUGCUUUCCAUCAUUUAUCGGCAGUCCUGGCUAUCAGGGGAGGUCCCAGUUGACUGGUGGCUGGCAAACGUGACGCCAAUCUACAAGGGCUGGAAGGUAGACCCAGGAAACUAUAGGCCUGUUAGUUUGACCUCAGUGCCAGAGAAGCUCAUGGAGCAGAUUAUCUUGAGUGUCAUCACACGGCAUUUGCAGGGCAACCAGGCGAUCAGGCCCAGUCAGCAUGGAUUUAUGAAAGGCAGGUCCUGCUUGACGAACCUGAUCUCCUUUUAUGACAAAGUGACAUGCUUAGUGGAUGAGGGAAAGGCUGUGGAUGUGGUCUACCUUGACUUCAGUAAGGCCUUUGACACUGUUUCCCACAGCAUUCUCUUCAAGAAACUGGCUUCUCUUGGCUUGGACUGGUAUACGCUUUGUUGGGUUAGAAACUGGCUGGGUAGCCACGCCCGAAGAGUCGUGGUGAAUAGAGUUAAAUCCAGUUGGAGGCCGGUCACUAGUGGAGUCCCCCAGGGCUCAGUACUGGGGCCAGUNNNNNNNN